AUUUUAAAACAAGAGAAACAAUAGUUUGAAAAUAUAGAAAAUUGCGUGUGAGUGUGUCAUAAUUCAUAAAUGCAAAGACAAAUGUUUGAUCUUUGAUUGUAAUUUCUGAAACUCACGGACUUUCCUACCUCUUUCUGAUCUUCCCGACCCCAUCAACACUUUUUUGUAUCUCUAUCACACAUAUAAAAUCGUAUUUUGAUUAAUACCAUUUUCCAGCCAUUUUGCCUCUGUCCUCUCCUACUUACUCUUCUCUCUUAUGUUUCCAGCCAUCACUCACGAGCCCAUUUAUGAACUUUAACCCUAAACCAGUGUAUAUCUCCUCCCACUUAUAUAUCCCUCACAUUAUCAUUCCAAACUCUCUCAAAAAAACAAAAAUAAUUACUUCAAACUAAAACCCAAUGUUCAACACAAGAGUUCAUAUUGUCAUUAUCACUCUAAACCUUUUAUUCUUGUACGCUGGAGGGAGACUAAUACCACUGGAGAGUGUUCCAAGCUCGUCGAUGAUGCCUUUAUCAGUCGAAGACACGGUCAAAUUGAAUCCGAGGAAUCAGAUUUUUCAUGGGACACAAGUAAAGAGUUGUAUGCCUAAAGGGUUCCGACCAAGAUCCGCUCCGAGCCGGGGCAAUGGAGGAGGAGUAUCAUGGAUCACGUGAACGAUUUCAAGGAAAAUGAUCGGAAAGAGGGAAAUAAUUGCAAAUUUGUGUAUGGGCCGUUUUACUUCUUCAAGCCCACUUAAAACUUGCCACCAAUUUCAACAAAACCAAAUAGUGUUUCCCAUUCAGAUAGUAAAUAGUUACUCAAAUAACGUUAACAUCGAGAAAAAAUGAAAAAAAAUCUGUAAGCCAUUUAUCAUACAAAC
Molecule: long non-coding RNA, 859 nt
Organism: Arabidopsis thaliana (thale cress)
Lineage: Eukaryota; Viridiplantae; Streptophyta; Magnoliopsida; Brassicales; Brassicaceae
Product: other RNA
Exons: 2
Source: RefSeq